UGAGUAACACGUGAGUAACCUGCCCCCGAGUUCGGGAUAGCCCGUGGAAACGCGGAUUAAUACCGGAUGAGGAAGGGAACUGCAUAGUUCCCGCUCUAAAGUUUUUUCGCUCGGGGAUGGGCUCGCGGCCCAUUAGCUUGUUGGCGGGGUAAUGGCCCACCAAGGCUAUGACGGGUAGGUGGUCUGAGAGGAUGGUCACCCACACUGGGACUGAGACACUGCCCAGACUCC
This 231-nucleotide ribosomal RNA is filed under the name uncultured bacterium. RNAcentral's name for it is "partial 16S ribosomal RNA". It matches the Rfam family "Bacterial small subunit ribosomal RNA", at positions 107 to 339 of the family's 1533-position model. The record is from RNAcentral.